This is a long non-coding RNA of Mercenaria mercenaria, 536 nucleotides long. RefSeq lists it as uncharacterized. NCBI's taxonomy places the organism in Eukaryota, Metazoa, Mollusca, Bivalvia, Venerida, Veneridae. The transcript is spliced from 3 exons. The record is from RefSeq and is a predicted model, not a curated record.
GCUAGUUAGUCAAUGACUGGUUAUCUCCAUCCAGAAAUGGAACAACUAGUGUGGAAGUUUUUAGGGACAUUUGUAUAGACCAAGGUUAUGACAUCUGCCAGAACCAUCACUGAAGUCCAUGCCGAGGAGAGGGAAAACCAACAUCCAGACGAGGACCUGGCUAUGGGUGUGGGUACACUCCCUACAUAUCUUCAUGACAACCCUGAUAUUCCAGCAGAAACCAUCAGAAAGCUUUUCAGUUCUGUGAGACUUUAACCUGGGGGGACCAGUAAGAUGGUGAAGAAGUUAUUCAUUGGUGACACAACCUAGCACAACCCAAUCUUCUCCAGGAUUAAAACCUACAGCCUUCUAAUAAAAGUCUUGUGUUGGACCUAUGGAGCUUACGGGCAGAGCUGGCUUGGUGGAAACAAUAUCAGAAGGCCACUGAAACCAGAGAUUAUAUUUUUUGGUGAUGAUGUAGUGUGACCAGUUGCAGAGUUUGUGCAUAAGACAGUAACGUAGAGUGAUUCUACAUUUUGUUGGAAUCCUUGUUGCAG